GGCAACCGUUCUCCACAAAGUGGAGCUCUUCGCCUCGCGACUUGAGACACGGCAUAAACCAGAUGAGACAAACCAAAAAACAAGAUAAAUAGUUAAUUAAUCUGAACCCAAAACGUCACUCAGAGAAUGUUGAGGCCAUCAGGAGCUGGUGGUCCUGCUGUGUGGGUUUGCUGAGGAAAAUGAGCCAGGAGCCUUGUGGGAUGUUCAUCUUUCGGGAGAAAGUGUUUUCCAGCAUCUCCAAGAGUCUGUCGCCACUCUCCAUACGAAACUCAUCCUGUGAGAGACACAAAAGGAGUAGAAUGGAAAAACAGAGCAAUACAGGGAUGUAAAAAAAUUAUUUUUUCACAUCUCAUGCUGAAUACUUGCUCUCAGUGUGAGCACAUACUAAAUCAGUUUGUUUUAUUUUUUUGUUUUAAAUAAAUGCUUACAAAGACAUAAUCCUUAAAA
Molecule: long non-coding RNA, 447 nt
Organism: Megalobrama amblycephala (Wuchang bream)
Lineage: Eukaryota; Metazoa; Chordata; Actinopteri; Cypriniformes; Xenocyprididae
Exons: 2
Source: RefSeq, a predicted model, not a curated record